RNAcentral lists this non-coding RNA (30 nucleotides) under Homo sapiens (human). The record is from RNAcentral. Lineage: Eukaryota; Metazoa; Chordata; Mammalia; Primates; Hominidae.
UGGCCAUCUGCCGGUCUUCGUCUGCGGUGU